GGACCCUCAGACACAAAAGUUCAGUCCAACAGACGGAGAGCAGAGUCUCCAGCAUCCAUCUGUCUGUCAAUGAAGAGUGACUGGUCCAAAGAUUUUAUUGUGACCUUCAGUGAUGAACCUGGACCCUCAGACACAAAAGAGAGGAAGAGGAGUCAUGUUCCUGUGGAGGAGCAGCGGUCCUGCUGUGUUUGGUGUCAGGACGUCCUGAAGGAUCCGGUCUCUACCAGCUGUGGACACUGGUUCUGCAGACACUGCAUCACCUCAUACUGGGACCAGUCUGCUUCAUCAGGAGACUCCUCCUGUCCCCAGUGUGGAGAAAGAUCCAGAACAAGACGUGGACUGCAGACAGCCAGUCAGACCAGCACUGUCCAAAGUAAGACUGUCCAUCUUUACAAUGUGACCUGCUGCAUUUCAUCACAUUAUGUUUAUUUAGAUACUUACAGUGAGUUCAUUCAGCCAUGUGGAAACAACCCAAAAACUGAAGAAUCAUCAAAG
Molecule: long non-coding RNA, 495 nt
Organism: Larimichthys crocea (large yellow croaker)
Lineage: Eukaryota; Metazoa; Chordata; Actinopteri; Sciaenidae
Exons: 3
Source: RefSeq, a predicted model, not a curated record